GGUGGGGACUGAAGUAAACCCGGCCGGAAAAAAGUAACAGGAGCAAAAAGCAAGUACGUAGAGAAAGCAGCGAGGUCUAUUCCUUCGAAAGCAAGCAUAAGUAGACGAAGAGGACAGCCUACGGGCUAGGAGGGAGAAGUAAACGAAGAAGGAGCCCCGAGGAUUAGGCCGUCCUGUGACGGCGGGGAGCAUUCGUCAGUUGUCAAGAGAGAGGGGGACUAAACAGGCGGAGUAGCGAUUAGACUAGACCGACUGCAGCAGCGUUACCUACAAAUAAACGUCCACAAAUCACAGAGGUAGCAGCCACAGCCGAAACAGACCCAAGGUAGUUCGAGCCGCCGCAGAUCCCGAGGGCAGUUCCGGACGCAGAAAAUCCCAAGGAAGUUCGAGGCGCAGUAGAUCCCAAGCAGUUCAAGUAGUAGAACUUACAUUACCGGGGUUAAGACGCGCUAAACAAGGAAAGACAGACACACAAUGAUGUUCUAGCUCCGAUAAAUAACGCAAUCACAGACAAGAACACAAACGAUCCCAAACUACUUGUACCAGAACAUGUCCCGUCAAGACUAAACCACUUAGACUCAGAUCUGAUCCCCCAACAGAAGUCUCUAAUCUAAAGUCCCAUACUACGCCGUACUACUAUACCACAACACACAAGCACACGAAACGAAAGACUAAGAACAAAGAUAAAAACAACUACUACUAUACCCCCAACACAUAGAGUUACCUCUUCAAGAAUAGCGAACAAAAUGUACAAGAAAAAUCAAAAACAUUACACAUCGUCGUAAUACCUGAUCAAGUCAACCGAACAAUCCUACAUAAAAGGAAUCUUCGUUCGUGGACAGUUGUAUAAAUUGGUUGAUUUUAAUGAAUUAAAAAGCAUACAACCAAACUAGUCAUGAUCAAGAGACACAGACAACACCGACCCACAGCAGUCACCUAGAAGAAGACAAAUCAACAAUUAAUUCUUUUUAUUUCAGCAAACGACCUGAUCUGUGAUCCCCUGUCUUCUAUCGUUAGUUGUACGUUUUGGUCACGCUACGUUUAAACACUUGUCUUGAACUACUUGGACUCAAAUUCCAAAGUCGCGGUGGGGUGGUUCACCCACGUGUUUAUCAAAUAACCAAAAACACAAGAGACUCAAAUAACAAAGUCGCGGUGGGGUGGUUCACUUGAUAAAAAGAAACAAAUAGACCCUCAACACACGCUACAGAUCAUGACCUCGAAGAUAAACAAGUUCACCUGCGUAGAUAGUAGUCAACCGUCAAUAGAAGAUACAUUUACUUAAUAUUCACUUCGGGCUAGAAACGAAUCUGUUCACACUAUUCAACCAACGUAUUAAAUGACAUCGUAGAUGGUUUAUUGAUAUAUCUAAAUCCAUUAAACAAGGAUGACGACGAAUGAUAUUAUCGAUCAAAAGAACACAGAAAAAAGCAAAAUGGCGCUCACUACGAUAUUCCCUUACUGAUCCCUUUCAUAUUUUACUAAGUUUUUUGAGGUAGAGGUCGGUAACAACUUAAUUACAGACAUCGAAUCUUAAUUUACCAAGUUUUUUGUAAUCGGUAAUAAAACCAGACCUUUAGUCGGUUGUUCUUAUUAUCAUGAAGACUUUAACAGAUGUAACAGAGAGUAAAAAAAAGACCACGAAUAAGAACACACCUACACAACAUAUUUUCACUUAUUCGUAAAAAAAUACCUGAUCACAAUCCAGACCACUAAAAACAACAUCCAAUGUUGAUUGUUAAUGAAUCUACAAAAAAGUAGUACAAGUAUACACACGUAACUACAAUAAAACGUUGUUGAAAUCGUGAUCAUGAACAUGGAACUAUGAAAUAAUGUACUACCUACUGGAAACACAAAGAUGAGAAAAGUGUAUACAUACCAAGACCACGAUCAAAACAAAAAAAUCUGCUCACAAGCAAUAACUUUACCAUAAUCCACUACACUGACAUCAAAAACUAUAUCCUGCAAUUGGGUCAUCACGUCCUACUUUCAACGUUCUACACCAUGAAUAAUCAAACUAUGAAAGAACAAUAAGUAAACGAACAAAAAAAUUACAUAAUGUACAAAAAAUUGACAGUAUGAAAGAAACAACACUGAAUAUGUGCAUGGUUACUAUGAUUCAUGACGAAAACAAAGGAACUUAAUUAGAAACAAAGUUGUCGAAUGAAAAAAUAAUAACAUGCCAACAGGGAGUUGACAGUUUUACGGAUCUGAAAUGUUUAUAGGAAUCCCAUGAUAGUUCGUGUCUAAAAGCUGGCAAUCCACCGUAUUCCGUCAAACACUAAAUUGACUGUUUGUCUUCAGCAUACAAAGGUUUAUACUCGAGCUAUUAGAGGACUUAUAAGUAGGAGUAAACUACUAAGCUUAAGGUUAAGACGUUAACGUUUGGUGUAUUUGAUAUUACCUGGACCUCAAAAGUCUUUCCCAGUUUUCUAGUAAGCAGAAUCUUCCCUCUACCAUUAAGUCCAAAAACCAUAGGCAAGACCAAGACACGGAAAAGGAGACCUGUUGUGUCUACAUCAACAACACCGAUCUCAUAAUGUUGAAUCCAAAGUCAUAGAACUAUUACCAGUCUUCAUGUAAGGUCAGCUAUUAUAAUAGUGAUACUACUUCUUACUGCUCUGGCGCCUUCCAAAGUACACCUCGAAGUACAAAGAUAAAAGACAGGUUGGAGAGCCUUAAUACGUUUAACCUUUUAAGAAAUACCGAGGUACUGUAAUGAUUCGACUUCUGGAAACUAAACCUAGUCGAAACGUAACUAGUGAACUUGUUCCUUUAACUAUUAAAGUCGUGGUUAGAGAAGUUGUUUUGACUUUAAGGCAACUUGUAAAGUUAGAUACAACCACCUACGAAUAGAAAUCGGCGAUAACAAAUAGACCUGAAUCAUCUGAAGUGUUUUCACUCGUUGCUUUGUAGUUAAUACGUCAGGUAUCUUAUCAGGUACAAGUCUUACUUCUGAAACUGAUAGAUAGAUAUCACCUGAACUUGUGUAGUAGUUUCUUCGGCAAACAUAACCCUAAGAAUGGUGACUCUCUGUAGAGGAGCUGUGGAAUGUCACGAGCACGUUAGCAUAACCGACUCCUUUUCACCGACUUACGGGGUGUUUGAAUGGUAUUACUCCUUUUACAGUAAGGUUUGAUGUCACUGUAGAGUUUACAACGUAGAUGAAGCUUGGUAUUAGGUCUUCGAUACUUGUAUUAUAGAGUUCAACAACGUUUCGUACUAGUUUAAACCUUCUUCGAAGUACUUGUUGUACACAUCUCAUACAAACGUAUAUACGUUCGUUGAGACAACAGAAAUGUUGGUUUAAGUUUGUACGUUCAGUUGUAACGACCGUGAAGUUGGUAUUUAGGGUAAUAAGAAGAAAGUCGUCGUUUGUUGUCCUUAUUAGAGUCACUUGGUCGUCAUUUGUGGUUGUUAGCGGGUCAACUCCAUUUGUUACUCGGUUAAUCUACAAGAAAUAAGGUUCUAGUACAUCCUCAGUCAGGAUGAGGACUACAAUGGAAUUCGGUGUGGUCGUUCCUGUAGGUUCAAGUUUAAGGUUGAGCUCAAGAUCUCGUUCACAGUCAAGGAGUCGUUCAUGUCCUUUGACUGGCUCGUGGAUGUUGACACUUGUAACCCAAAAAACACCAUAAUUACUUCGCUUAAGUCAACCCUUGUUACCAUGGUAGAGACUCGGUUAAGUCUGAGGUAUUAACCGUAAGGACCUUGGUGACACAGGACAAAUAGGAUAUCAUCUAUCACUCCGUUUAGUCUAUCUAAAAGUCGUACAGUUGUAACACGGACUUUAGGGAGAAAGACCCUUGAGUCAAAUACAGUCACUCGUUCAAGUCCAUCACUUACUCGAUCUCAGUUCACAACAAUUACACGAGUUAGUCUGGGGUUCAUUUCUUUACAGACCACGAACAGGGUUAGGAGGAAAGGAUCAAGUCUCGUUACGAUCAGGAGUGUUAGAUGGUAGAGGAAGUUCAUUGUUAGACCCGGAGGUUGCUAGACGUACUUUGGAAGGUGGAGGGGCACAGUGGCGAGCGUAACCUUCUUUAUGCACUGUAUGUCGAUUGGAACUGGUUCUAGACGGGAAGGUGUAGCUUAUGAUUAUAAACCGUGAUGUAUACCCCGUGCCGGUGAAAGUCUGGAUUCCUGAUGAUAAGUAUAAAGAAAUCUCUACGGGCUUGGCUGGGGUACAAGUUUGUGGACACCUUUAGUUUUACAUGUUACUUCAACUUCCACAAACCAACCGACGAAAAAGUGCUGUCUGAGUUGUGUGCAUUAUACAACUUCGCCUCCGUGAAAUUGUAGCCUAUACUAAAACUGACAGAGGAAACGCCCGAAGGUUAGCUUCUUUGUCACCUGGUAUACUAGAAGUGAACACUAAAAUCGUCCUGUACGACCUGGUUUGAACCAUAAGUUACCUGGGGGAAACCAUUGGCAGAGUGACGAGAGUUCAACUUGUCUCUGAGGACCGCACUGGGUAAAAAGUACCUUUAAAAAGAGUGACGGUCUACCUCGGAUACCUUCCUUCCUUGUUGUUUGUGAAGGUACCUCAACUGGGAUGACAACCCAGGACCAAAAGUACGAAGUUUUUACUGGAUCCAGUUGAGGUCGUAUCUCAGUUUCUCCGGGUAUCUCCGAACAAACAGUUAGAAACAAGACGAGAUCCAACUAUCAAAGAUAGAGAAAAAGAAUGGACUGAGGAGGGCACCUCUCGACCAUUAAGUGGGGAGGGACCAAACACCCCUCCCCCUCAUCUACCCAUUGGCUCAAUCCGUGGGAUAUACAGAUACAUUUGUGGGGUAAAUAUAUCUAUAUAUUUUAGUGUCACCCUCAGGAGAGGGUGACAGUUAAGGGAUUUUUUGUUAGAUUAACUUCUACCAACAUAAGGUUUCCUUAACUUAAGUGUUUUUUGACUUUUGUACCCACUACCGUAACUUUAGCGGUACCUCAUACGACUACUAUAAAACUACGGUGUUGAACUGUUGAGUCAAGGGUUUCACCUGAUACUAUUAAAGAUGUUAAGAGACUUCCGUUAUCCUUUCCAACUAUUACUUUAUAAGUUACGGAUACAGGUUCAAAAGUUAAUGCUAUUACUUUCAGGUCGAGGUUUUUGAUUUCUUGGAAGUUUCAUAACGAAAUGAAGGAUGAAGUUCCUCUUUGACGAAGAUCUAGGGGCUUUGAAGUUAAGAUCCAGAACGGAUUCUCUUAAGUUCUUUGAUAUGAGCCCCUUCUCGAAUGUAUUCGCACUAGAUCAUGUGUAAAAAAAUAGUAAGGUACUUUGGUAGUAAAAACGUAGAAAAAGUAGAUAUGAGUAAAAAGAUGAAAUUAACGGUAGGUUGAAAUGAAGGGGGCUCAACUAAGGAAGGCAACCUGAAACAAGACGCAGUCGUUAGAGAAACUUUGUCAAUUAAAGAAGUUAAGUUCCUCAAUACAAGGAGUUUUAGUUCAGUUGUUCAAUUGUAGUUUAGACCGUUAGUUGUACCCGUGGGAAAACUUCAGAAGACCUAGGUAUAUGUUCUUACAGCUCUUUAAACUCACGUAAAGCGGACUCUUGAUGGGGUCGUUUUGUUGGAGGUGUUAACACGUGAGAUACGAUAAUACAUGUACCUAUAGACCCUACCGUUCUUGUACUUCUUGUAACUGCUACUUUAAUAAGGAGUUAAGACCGUCCAACAGUGAAUGUUUGAGCGUUUCAGACUGUAGUUACUUCUUAGGAAGAUCCUUCAAGUUCUUCUACAAAGUUGGUUCUUCUCCUUCUACACAGCAAUGAAUACAAAUGUUUCGUUUACGAAUUUCGAUGAUUUCACGUAGCAAAAGUGGGUAGCUACACACGGAAAUUAUUACAAGUAACGUUUGAACUUCGAUGAACAAAAUAUAUGAACUUCGAUGACACGUGGUCUUCAUGAAUAUUCAGUGGAUAGCUUACAAACUUUUUUUGAAACUUCAUACGAAAAGAGAACACACCUUUUGUCAAAGGGUGGCCAAACAUGGAUUUGAUCAAUGCAAUGUUCAGUAAGAACCGUUAGCAAAGUCGUAAUGAUAUAAAAAAUGUACAAAAAACUUGACGA
RNAcentral lists this ribosomal RNA (6062 nucleotides) under Triticum aestivum (bread wheat). Its description in RNAcentral is "partial small subunit ribosomal RNA". The record is from RNAcentral. Lineage: Eukaryota; Viridiplantae; Streptophyta; Magnoliopsida; Poales; Poaceae.